CGCUGGCGGCAGGCCUAACAAUGCAAGUCGAGCGGAAACGAGUUAUCUGAACCUUCGGGGAACGAUAACGGCGUCGAGCGGCGGACGGGUGAGUAAUGCCUGGGAAAUUGCCCUGAUGUGGGGGAUAACCAUUGGAAACGAUGGCUAAUACCGCAUAAUGCCUUCGGGCCAAAGAGGGGGACCUUCGGGCCUCUCGCGUCAGGAUAUGCCCAGGUGGGAUUAGCUAGUUGGUGAGGUAAAGGCUCACCAAGGCGACGAUCCCUAGCUGGUCUGAGAGGAUGAUCAGCCACACUGGAACUGAGACACGGUCCAGACUCCUACGGGAGGCAGCAGUGGGGAAUAUUGCACAAUGGGCGCAAGCCUGAUGCAGCCAUGCCGCGUGUAUGAAGAAGGCCUUCGGGUUGUAAAGUACUUUCAGCAGUGAGGAAGGUUCAUGCGUUAAUAGCGUAUGGAUUUGACGUUAGCUGCAGAAGAAGCACCGGCUAACUCCGUGCCAGCAGCCGCGGUAAUACGGAGGGUGCGAGCGUNAAUCGGAAUUACUGGGCGUAAAGCGCAUGCAGGUGGUUUGUUAAGUCAGAUGUGAAAGCCCGGGGCUCA
RNAcentral lists this ribosomal RNA (597 nucleotides) under uncultured bacterium. RNAcentral describes it as "bacterial SSU rRNA". It matches the Rfam family "Bacterial small subunit ribosomal RNA", at positions 34 to 611 of the family's 1533-position model. The record is from RNAcentral.